RNAcentral lists this ribosomal RNA (372 nucleotides) under uncultured organism. Its description in RNAcentral is "partial 16S ribosomal RNA". It matches the Rfam family "Bacterial small subunit ribosomal RNA", at positions 527 to 896 of the family's 1533-position model. The record is from RNAcentral.
GUAGGUGGCAAGCGUUGUCCGGAACUAUUGGGCGUAAAGCGCGCGCAGGCGGUUCUUUAAGUCUGAUGUGAAAGCCCACGGCUCAACCGUGGAGGGUCAUUGGAAACUGGAGAACUUGAGUACAGAAGAGGAAAGCGGAAUUCCACGUGUAGCGGUGAAAUGCGUAGAGAUGUGGAGGAACACCAGUGGCGAAGGCGGCUUUCUGGUCUGUAACUGACGCUGAGGCGCGAAAGCGUGGGGAGCAAACAGGGAUUAGAUACCCUGGUAGUCCACGCCGUAAACGAUGAGUGCUAAGUGUUAGGGGGUUUCCGCCCCCUUAGUGCUGCAGCUAACGCAUUAAGCACUCCGCCUGGGGAUACGGCCGCAAGGCUG